Molecule: long non-coding RNA, 656 nt
Filed under: Homo sapiens (human)
Lineage: Eukaryota; Metazoa; Chordata; Mammalia; Primates; Hominidae
Description: HSALNT0345947
Source: RNAcentral
UGGAAGUGAAUAUUCCAGAUUCUUCCUUCGCAGAAGAUCUGAAGUGUUAAUCUUAUCACAGGAAGGAUGCAGAGAACUUGAAGGAACUUCAUAGCCUGAUUAUUUGGCUCAGGAGAAGCAACACUUCAGCCAAAAUUUUAUAUUCCAUCGCUACUCUUCAUGGAGCAUGAGUUUCCAAAGUCAAACUGCAUGAGAUCCAGCAGAGAUUAAUUAACUACCCACCAGGCGAAGCAGCCUACAGCACCCUGUGACCCGCCCCCAGCACAAGCUUCACCCUGGGACAGAGCCACCAGCCAUUCAUCCCGCAGAAGACCAGGCACAGCAAAGCUGCAGCCACAGCUCACAGCUAUCCCAGGAUGGGAUCCUCUGAGAGUGCAGGCAGAACUGUGUUUGUCAAGGGGUUUGAAGGUGAGGUUCCAGAAACCAUCUGUGAAAAUUAGAUACCUACGUGGAUCUGGAUACAAAUGCUACUGCUGGUGAGAACAGAGCUAUGGCAUGCCUAUUUCACAGUCUCUGACUUAGCCCAAGUUCUAAGAGUUGACUCUAACAGUCUUGAAAACUACCUCAGGAUAUAUUUUUUCCCUUGAAACAAUGCUGUAAAUGGUGGCCAGAAUCUCAAAUACAUAUCCAAUUGUCCAUAGCAUUGAGGAGGCAUC